RNAcentral lists this long non-coding RNA (231 nucleotides) under Homo sapiens (human). RNAcentral describes it as "non-protein coding lnc-C9orf66-4:2". The record is from RNAcentral. Lineage: Eukaryota; Metazoa; Chordata; Mammalia; Primates; Hominidae.
UGGUCCUUACAAGCACAGAAAAAUGGAUCUGUGGCAGUCAUGGUUCCUGGACUUCUAGAAAUGACUAUAUUCCAGGAGAUGCAGAAAUGCUACUGAACAUGGAUGUGCAGCACCACAGAAAACCUAUGUGGGAUCCUGAUCACCAGUGGAAGCCCGGCUCCUUAGAGAGCUAAGAUGGAACAAAGAAAAUUCCCAGGCCCGGGAACCACCAGAGGUACUACCUUAUUUGCU